GAGAAUUCUAAGCUCAGCAAAAUAAGAUUCAUCUCAGCCCUUAACUUUUAAUCCAUCUGAACCGUUGCUUUGCUACAGUUGAAGUGUGAGAAAAAAAAAAACCCUAUUUUCGGAUAUGGGCACAAUUAAACCCAUCGUGUGCAGCGGCGGCAUGGCAUCUUCAGCUUCACUGUACAACUCGCCGGCAGCCCUCCACAAUCGGUACCACACUCUCUUUCUAACGGAUCCCUCCACAUAUGAUACAACUCUCUCCUCUCUAAUGGAUCGUAAGGUCAAAUAUCUGUAAAUGGAGUAGAUAAACCUUUGGUGAUGUAAUCGAGCCCGAAACAGGCCGAGCCCGAGCUUGUAGAAACCUUACCGAUCCCGAUCCCGAUCCCGAAAUGGCUAGCCGAAGCUCGCCCGAGCCGAGCAUCUCUGGAAAUGAUGAUCCAAGCCCGAGCAAUCCAAAGCUCGCCUCGGUUCGGUUCGUUUGCAGCCGUAAGUAGAGUGAGUAGAGCAAAGAGAGAGACAGUGACAGAAGAGUGAUCUUUGUACUCAAGAACUGAGUGUGUUGUGUAAGGUAGGUCUUCCAAUUUUUUGGUAUCAAAGCGAAUGGGAAGUAAAUUGGAUGGGACGGAAGUCCCUAUCAUCGGCAGCGACUCCGUCAAGUGCCCUCGAAGUCUCUGUCCCUUCCACUCCUCUUUGGCGAUCACCCAUAGCUGCUGAUCCUACUCCUGCUUUGCAGCUGCCGUUCUUCGCCCCUCCCAACCCAGACGCCGCCUCCUGCUCCGUUAUCGGAAACCCUCCUACCUAUCUCAUUUGAGCAGUCAGCAUAAAAGAAUGCACAUGGCACAAAUUGGGAAUUCUGAACAUGGAGAAGUAAAUAUAGGCGAGAAUUUUGAACAUGAAGAGAAUAUUGGCGAGAAUUUUGAACAGGAAGAGCAGAAUAUAGGCAAGAAUUCUGAACAGGAAGAAGAGAAUGUAGGAAUCUGGAAUCAACUGAGAAAUCCGUGUAAAGUCUAAGUGUUCUUUGUUGUCGUGUGUUUUAUCUUCUGCUGUGUUCUGGCCCUCUUCCUUGGGUUUCUUAUUUUGUGGUUGUGAUUGAUUGGACUCGUCUUUGUGUUCUGCAUCUUGUCUAGUGGUACAACUGAAUUUACAUAAGGAAAAUAAGCAUCCUCCCGAUUCAAAUCCGUGCUUAUAAAUCUGAUCUCUCGACGCCUCAUAUGAUAGGCAUACAAUGAAUUGCCUAUGAGAAUAUUAAUUUCAUCAUUUUUUAUACCAGGCAAUACACGGCACGGUUCACCUCUUGCCCCAAUGCUCCAAUUUCUUCAAGAUUUAUGCGGCAUCCCAACUUCAGUCUCAUACAUUCCUCUAUUCUGAGUAGGCAAUCAUUUUCUACACGGCUAACAUGAAUGUAGCACGGUAGGUUCUCCAAUGCUGUGAGAGUUCCACGAUAGGUUCUCCAAUGUUCACGGAUUUAUUUCUCUGCCACUCACUGGGGAAGUUGGAACUCUCACAACAUUGGAGCUCCUACCGUGCUACAUUCAUGUUAGCCGUGUAGAAAAUGAUUGCCGACUCAGAAUCUUUGUUAGUGAAAGAAGAGAGGAAGGUAUGAGACUGAAGUUGGAAUGCUGCAUAAACCUUGAAGAAAUUGGGGAAAGAGGUGUACCGUGCAGUGUAUUGUUUGGGAUAAAAAUGAUGAAAUUAAUAUUCUCAUAGGCAAUUCAUUGUGUGCCUAUCAUACGAGGCGUCGAGAGAUCAGAAUUAUAAGCACGGAUUUGAAUCGUGAGGAUGCUUAUUUUCCUUAUGUAAAUUCAGUUGUAUCAUUCAACAAGAUGCAGAACACAAAGACGAGUCCAAUCAAUCACAACCACAAAAUAAGAAACCCAAGGAAGAGGGCCAGAAGAUAAAACACAACGAAAUUGCCAAGAAGUUCGAAAAAAACACAAAGAGGCCAAUAAUGAUGAACUUUGAGGAGGAUUCCUACAUAACUUUCAUCAGUUAGCUACUUGAGGAGGAUUCCUACACGCACGAUGAUUUUCAGGAGGGUGAUAACUUUCAUCAGUUAGCUCUUGUUGUCCAGGAUUAUUGCGCCAAGAAGCUGAACAAGUCCCAUCCCUUAUUUUUCUAUGGCAUUCUAAUUUUUGUUGUGGAUUUAUGGUUCCUAACAUUAGCUUAUUCCCUGACUGUGAUUUGUAAUUUUACUUUUUUGUUUGUUCUCUUUCAUAUGGCUUUUCAACUCUGAAACUGAGUCCCGCACAUUAAGUGCAGGACUUGUAUGAGGAACUUCUUAAUGAUACAAACCCAAAGGUCACGACA
Long non-coding RNA from Cornus florida, 2298 nucleotides. RefSeq lists it as uncharacterized. The transcript has 3 exons. NCBI's taxonomy places the organism in Eukaryota, Viridiplantae, Streptophyta, Magnoliopsida, Cornales, Cornaceae. The record is from RefSeq and is a predicted model, not a curated record.